UAUAAUUUUUUAUUCUUCGUCUUAUUUAAAAAUUUUUUGCGAUUGAUAUUUUUGUUUUUAUUAGAUGAUAAAUCAUGAAUAAUACUUUAUGCUUGAUUUUCUUUAAUUUUUUAAAUUUUUUUUAAAUAAGACGAAUGAUCAAACGUUGGACACGGAAAC
RNAcentral lists this microRNA precursor (159 nucleotides) under Oryza brachyantha (malo sina). Its description in RNAcentral is "MIR812 microRNA precursor family". It matches the Rfam family "MIR812 microRNA precursor family", at positions 27 to 188 of the family's 205-position model. Lineage: Eukaryota; Viridiplantae; Streptophyta; Magnoliopsida; Poales; Poaceae. The record is from Rfam by way of RNAcentral.